Molecule: unclassified non-coding RNA, 149 nt
Filed under: uncultured Capnodiales
Lineage: Eukaryota; Fungi; Ascomycota; Dothideomycetes; Capnodiales
Description: sequence contains ITS2
Source: RNAcentral
CACCACUCAAGCCUGGCUUGGUAUUGGACGUGGGGUAUCACGAGUUGCCCCUGUCCCAAUUGCACCGGCUGGACGACCCGAUUCUCAGCGUUGUGGCAACUAAUUCGCCGACGAGGAGGGUGGCCCGCGCCGUUAAACAUCAUCUCAGG